This 253-nucleotide long non-coding RNA is filed under the name Vitis vinifera (wine grape). RNAcentral's name for it is "long non-coding RNA (VVIN_LNC003237)". Lineage: Eukaryota; Viridiplantae; Streptophyta; Magnoliopsida; Vitales; Vitaceae. The record is from RNAcentral.
ACCGCUCCUCUGAGCUCUGUUACAUGACACGCCUCAGCCCAUAUCCAUUGGUGUUUGGGAGUUGAAAUAAAAAGAAUGCCUCAACUGCUGGCAGCACUACUGCCCUCCAAACAAUGGCUCAAAUCCACAUUUUGGCUCCAGCAUUUCCUCUCUUUCGCCUCUCCUCCCAAACCCGUCUUUCUUUUUCAAUCAACUUCUUCUGGGUUUCGAUUCAACUCAUAUGCUGCCAACAGGAGGCUCUCCACAAUCCCAG